CACUCCACCAAGAACGCCCACAAGGUGUUCGACGAAUUGCCCAAGUCAAGUUUGGGGGGAAUUUUGCACAUCAAUUCACGUAUAAUCCCGACGAUGGUCCCGACAUUUAAAACAGGUGUUUUCUAUCCUUAAACUCCGGGCAAAUCACAUUGAGGGCAAUGUGAAUUUUAAGUUUGGGGGUGGUUAACUACUUGUUUUCAUUUAUGUGCUUUAUGUGUGUUUUAUUUUUUUUUAUUGUGC
This 240-nucleotide long non-coding RNA is filed under the name Erythranthe guttata (spotted monkey flower). Its description in RNAcentral is "long non-coding RNA (EGUT_LNC003755)". The record is from RNAcentral. Lineage: Eukaryota; Viridiplantae; Streptophyta; Magnoliopsida; Lamiales; Phrymaceae.